AUUUACUGUGGCUCAGGGGAAUAGCUAGAAGUCAGAUAACAAGACAAUGGCGCAAUUGUUCAGACAUACAGGAUUUUAAAACACAAGCAGGCAUUGUUAAGAAUAAAUUGAUUCAAAAAGGAUACAAUAAACAUAAAAUUGAAAAGGAUAUUAGGUUAGCAGAAGGGAAAGAUAGGAAUUAUCUCCUUAUGAAUAAAGCUGAAAUUGUUUCAAACAAUACUUUUACAUAUUCCUUCAUGACUCAAUAUAGAUGUAGAUUUGGCAUGUUUUCUAUAAAUAUGAUAUUGUUUUAAAAGAUUGUGGUCUUUAAAGAGGUGUGAG
Non-coding RNA from Pelobates cultripes (western spadefoot toad), 321 nucleotides. NCBI's taxonomy places the organism in Eukaryota, Metazoa, Chordata, Amphibia, Anura, Pelobatidae. The record is from the annotation of a GenBank genome assembly.